Molecule: ribosomal RNA, 254 nt
Filed under: uncultured bacterium
Lineage: Bacteria
Description: partial 16S ribosomal RNA
Rfam family: Bacterial small subunit ribosomal RNA
Source: RNAcentral
UACGGAGGGUGCGAGCGUUGUCCGGAAUCAUUGGGCGUAAAGGGCGCGUAGGUGGCCCGGUCAGUUCGUGGUGAAAGCGCGGGGCUCAACCCUGCGUCGGCCAUGAAUACUGCCGCGGCUGGAGCACUGUAGAGGCAGGCGGAAUUCCUGGUGCAGCGGUGAAAUGCGCAGAUAUCAGGAAGAACACCCGUGGCGAAGGCGGCUCUCUGGGACGGUACUGACGCUGAGACGCGAAAGCGUGGGGAGCGAACAGG